UGGGGAAUUUUGGACAAUGGGCGAAAGCCUGAUCCAGCAAUGCCGCGUGUGUGAAGAAGGCCUUCGGGUUGUAAAGCACUUUUGCCCCGGAAAGAAAUCCUUGGCUCUAAUACAGUCGGGGGAUGACGGUACCGGAAGAAUAAGCACCGGCUAACUACGUGCCAGCAGCCGCGGUAAUACGUAGGGUGCAAGCGUUAAUCGGAAUUACUGGGCGUAAAGCGUGCGCAGGCGGUUUGCUAAGACCGAUGUGAAAUCCCCGGGCUCAACCUGGGAACUGCAUUGGUGACUGGGCAGGCUAGAGUAUGGCAGAGGGGGGUAGAAUUCCACGUGUAGCAGUGAAAUGCGUAGAGAUGUGGAGGAAUACCGAUGGCGAAAGGCAGCCCCCUGGGCCAAGUACUGACGCUCAUGCACGAAAGCGUGGGGAGCAAACAGGAUUAGAUACCCUGGUAGUCCACGCCCUAAAACGAUGUCAACUAGUUGUUGGGGAUUCAUUUCCUUAGUAACGUAGCUAACGCGUGAAGUUGACCGCCUGGGGAGUACGGUCGCAAGA
RNAcentral lists this ribosomal RNA (550 nucleotides) under uncultured bacterium. RNAcentral describes it as "partial 16S ribosomal RNA". It matches the Rfam family "Bacterial small subunit ribosomal RNA", at positions 355 to 893 of the family's 1533-position model. The record is from RNAcentral.